Molecule: transfer-messenger RNA, 392 nt
Filed under: Patescibacteria group
Lineage: Bacteria
Description: GWC2-37-14 sp000990355 Standard tmRNA
Rfam family: transfer-messenger RNA
About the family: Bacterial tmRNA, also known as 10Sa RNA or SsrA, is named for its dual tRNA and mRNA-like properties.
Source: RNAcentral
GGGGAUGACAGGGUUCGAUAGACGGACCAAGUUAUCUAUGACUUGCAUGCCGAGCUGUCUAACUCGUUAAACUGGGCAAAUUCUACGUGCAAACGUAAUCAGCCGUGUAAAGAAUGUAUUAGCCAACGCUUUUACUGUUCGUACAUUGGCUUCUGCUCUCGUUUAAUCACUUGAGCCAUCGUAACCACAAUACUCAAUAGUGGAACUACGGUGUAAAUCAUUGAGCGUAGGCCAAAUCAAUUGUCUUUAUUGAUUUGCUGAAAGACUAAAAGACUAGUCAAUUACUUUUUUGCAUUUUUCUAGGUAGUUGGCAAAACAACAAAAGUGCUAAACAUGUAGAAAGCAUUCAUAACCCGCUCUAGACCCGGGUUCAAUUCCCGGCAUCUCCACCG